RNAcentral lists this ribosomal RNA (372 nucleotides) under uncultured bacterium. RNAcentral describes it as "bacterial SSU rRNA". It matches the Rfam family "Bacterial small subunit ribosomal RNA", at positions 29 to 424 of the family's 1533-position model. The record is from RNAcentral.
AACGAACGCUGGCGGCAGGCUUAACACAUGCAAGUCGAACGGGUGUAGCAAUACAUCAGUGGCAGACGGGUGAGUAACACGUGGGAACCUUCCUAGAGGUACGGAACAACUCAGGGAAACUUGAGCUAAUACCGUAUACGCUCUUGCGAGGAAAGAUUUAUCGCCUUUAGACGGGCCCGCGUCGGAUUAGCUAGUUGGUGGGGUAACGGCCUACCAAGGCGACGAUCCGUAGCUGAUCUGAGAGGAUGAUCAGCCACACUGGGACUGAGACACGGCCCAGACUCCUACGGGAGGCGGCAGUGGGGAAUCUUGGACAAUGGGCGCAAGCCUGAUCCAGCCAUGCCGCGUGAGUGAAGAAGGCCUCGGUUGGUU